This 709-nucleotide long non-coding RNA is filed under the name Olea europaea subsp. europaea. The record is from RNAcentral. Lineage: Eukaryota; Viridiplantae; Streptophyta; Magnoliopsida; Lamiales; Oleaceae.
AAAUACUGCUCAAGAUUCUCACAAGAUUUCAACAAACCGUCAACAUGCAAUUUGUUUAAUUUCUCAACAUUAAACAAAAAUCCAAAUAUCUCUUCAUAAUGUUUAAGAUGUUCAAAGCAGGUUUGAAGUGAUGAUCGAGCUCGAUCAAUUAUAAAGAGAAAAUAAUCAACUUUAAAAGAUUCUUCAAUUGAUUUUGUUACCUCUUCACUCUUACUUUCAUCGAACUGUAACUUCUUUCGAAUGCUGCGUUUAUCUCAGAAUACAACGUCAAUUCCCAUUUCACUUAACAUUUGUUGAGCUUCAUCUGUAGCACUAGCAAAUUCAGAUUCUCUACACUUUUCGAGAAACAAAAUAAGUACUUGUACUAGCUUGAUAACUUCAUCAAUAUCCAUGUUUUCAGCUUGAAAAAAAAUUUAUUUACAAUAUUGAUUGUAUGCAACAACUUAUAUCAAAUGACCAUGCCAAGUAAAACUCAAAAUUCUCAAGUUAAUAUAUUGUUAAGGACAUAGCUUCACUCUUUGUUUUGAGAUCUUUAGCAAUGUUUGUCAAUUCAAGUAAAACGUCUCUUAUUUGUACAGAUUAUUCUUUUCUAGGUUUGACACUUUCUACAUGACUUUUUCAGUGUGUUUAUGACAAUCCUUUAAGUGUCAGACCUUCAACCUUAUCUUGAAAAAUCUUCCAUCGUUCAGUAGAAGAAGAGAACAGUGUG